Hyalella azteca is the source of this 346-nucleotide long non-coding RNA. RefSeq lists it as uncharacterized. NCBI's taxonomy places the organism in Eukaryota, Metazoa, Arthropoda, Malacostraca, Amphipoda, Hyalellidae. The transcript is spliced from 2 exons. The record is from RefSeq and is a predicted model, not a curated record.
UUCUACUGUUCUAGCUAUUUUUCUCGUCCAACUUCCCACCCCUUAAACUGAUUGCCGCUAUUUUCCUGCAUUAUUCUACCUUCAAAAAGUGAUCACCACACUGGGCAUUUAAACCUCAGUAUACAUUAACCCGAUCCUGAAACUGGCCAGCCUUACGUGAUAUCUACGUCACGCAUUCGUCAUGUGCUCUGUCAACCAUCAAUCUUCAACUUCUCUUAUACCGCAUUCUGAACUUUUGGAUUCGGCUCCUAUCAACUAAAUAUUUUCGCCAUUAUUAUGAAGCUAUAUCAUUCGAACUCAAACUCAAGAUUUUGUUUGAUAAAUUAAAAAUAAAAGCUUCCUUGAU